ACGAACGCUGGCGGCGUGCUUAACACAUGCAAGUCGAACGGAAAGGCCCUGCUUUUGUGGGGUGCUCGAGUGGCGAACGGGUGAGUAACACGUGAGUAACCUGCCCUUGACUUUGGGAUAACUUCAGGAAACUGGGGCUAAUACCGGAUAGUAGCUCCUGCUGCAUGGUUGGGGUUGGAAAGUUUCGGCGGUUGGGGAUGGACUCGCGGCUUAUCAGCUUGUUGGUGGGGUAGUGGCUUACCAAGGCUUUGACGGGUAGCCGGCCUGAGAGGGUGACCGGCCACAUUGGGACUGAGAUACGGCCCAGACUCCUACGGGAGGCAGCAGUGGGGAAUAUUGCACAAUGGGCGGAAGCCUGAUGCAGCAACGCCGCGUGCGGGAUGACGGCCUUCGGGUUGUAAACCGCUUUCGCCUGUGACGAAGCGUGAGUGACGGUAAUGGGUAAAGAAGCACCGGCUAACUACGUG
RNAcentral lists this ribosomal RNA (467 nucleotides) under uncultured bacterium. RNAcentral's name for it is "partial 16S ribosomal RNA". It matches the Rfam family "Bacterial small subunit ribosomal RNA", at positions 29 to 507 of the family's 1533-position model. The record is from RNAcentral.